CAAAUCCUCGUCCCCCAUCAUGCCGGAAGAUGCUGACUCGCUUUUGCCUAGCGAAGCACAAAAAUCCUCUUCUGUCAUCCCAUGAAUACACAUUGGCGCCUUUGGCCUUGGUGAUGACUGCUAAAGUUUCCAAAUUGGGAAUUCUAUGGAAGGCGAUUGAUUCAGAAAGAGAUAAAAGUAGCUCUCUGGAUGCCAACACCUCCAUUGAUAAGAGAGGCUUCUUUGAAAACCCAGUAACAGUUCUCUCCAGUGCAUAAGUUUCCUUUCGCAGCUCUUGAGCUUGGCCA
RNAcentral lists this unclassified non-coding RNA (287 nucleotides) under Hevea brasiliensis (rubber tree). The record is from RNAcentral. Lineage: Eukaryota; Viridiplantae; Streptophyta; Magnoliopsida; Malpighiales; Euphorbiaceae.